This 468-nucleotide ribosomal RNA is filed under the name uncultured bacterium. RNAcentral's name for it is "partial 16S ribosomal RNA". It matches the Rfam family "Bacterial small subunit ribosomal RNA", at positions 28 to 507 of the family's 1533-position model. The record is from RNAcentral.
GACGAACGCUGGCGGCGUGCUUAACACAUGCCAGUCGAACGGAAAGGCCCUGCUUUUGUGGGGUGCUCGAGUGGCGAACGGGUGAGUAACACGUGAGUAACCUGCCCUUGACUUUGGGAUAACUUCAGGAAACUGGGGCUAAUACCGGAUAGGAGCUCCUGCUGCAUGGUGGGGGUUGGAAAGUUUCGGCGGUUGGGGAUGGACUCGCGGCUUAUCAGCUUGUUGGUGGGGUAGUGGCUUACCAAGGCUUUGACGGGUAGCCGGCCUGAGAGGGUGACCGGCGACAUUGGGACUGAGAUACGGCCCAGACUCCUACGGGAGGCAGCAGUGGGGAAUAUUGCACAAUGGGCGGAAGCCUGAUGCAGAAACGCCGCGUGCGGGAUGACGGCCUUCGGGUUGUAAACCGCUUUAGCCUGUGACGAAGCGUGAGUGACGGUAAUGGGUAAAGAAGCACCGGCUAACUACGUG